GCUGAACGCUAGCUACAGGCUUAACACAUGCAAGUCGAGGGGUAACAAGAGAAAAGCUUGCUUUUCUUGUUGACGACCGGCGCACGGGUGAGUAUCGCGUAUCCAACCUGCCUAUAACUAGGGAAUAACCUUGCGAAAGUAAGACUAAUACCCUAUGAUUUCCUUUGAUGACAUCAGAUUAGGAAUAAAGAUUUAUCCGUUAUAGAUGGGGAUGCUUCUAGUUAGCUAGUUGGCGGGGUAACGGCCCACCAAGGCAACGAUCAGUAGGGGUGCUGAGAGGAAGGUCCCCCACAUUGGAACUGAGACACGGUCCAAACUCCUACGGGAGGCAACAGUGAGGAAUAUUGGGCAAUGGGCGGAAGCCUGAACCAGCCAAGUAGCGUGCAGGAUGACGGCCCUAUGGGUUGUAAACUGCUUUUAUACAGGAAUAAAGUUAGCCACGUGUGGUUAUUUGUAGGUACUGUAUGAAUAAGGACCGGCUAAUUCCGUGCCAGCCGCCGCUGUAA
This 506-nucleotide ribosomal RNA is filed under the name uncultured bacterium. Its description in RNAcentral is "partial 16S ribosomal RNA". It matches the Rfam family "Bacterial small subunit ribosomal RNA", at positions 28 to 523 of the family's 1533-position model. The record is from RNAcentral.